CAACUCCUACGGGACGCAGCAGUGAGGAAUAUUGGUCAAUGGGCGGAAGCCUGAACCAGCCAAGUCGCGUGAGGGACUAAGGCCCUGCGGGUCGUAAACCUCUUUUGCCGGGGAGCAGUGGUCCGGACGCGUCCGGACCGGGAGAGUACCCGGAGAAAAAGCAUCGGCUAACUCCGUGCCAGCAGCCGCGGUAAUACGGAGGAUGCGAGCGUUAUCCGGAUUUAUUGGGUUUAAAGGGUGCGUAGGCGGAAUGCUAAGUCAGCGGUAAAAUCGCGGGGCUCAACCUCGCUCCGCCGUUGAAACUG
Molecule: ribosomal RNA, 305 nt
Filed under: uncultured bacterium
Lineage: Bacteria
Description: bacterial SSU rRNA
Rfam family: Bacterial small subunit ribosomal RNA
Source: RNAcentral